GGCUCACAAAACAUUGCUCUGGCAGAAUUUCAGUAGUUAGUCUAUUAAUCUUUUCUGCUUCAUAUAUCGACAAUUACAUUUUCCUUAACUUAGAGCCACAAACAUCAAUGUAUAGAAACUGAAGCAUGUAAGCUAACCUGAGGGACUGUGUGUCCAAGAAUUUCACGCAAUGGCUUUGUCUCUGCCAGUGGAUGCUCUAUAGGCAGCUCGUAGACAAUUUGGUUCAACACCUGAUAGGAUUUGCAUCAACAAUAUUAGUGGUCAUCUUGCUUCAGCCUCACAUAAAGUUUGAAAGACCAUAACUGAUGAUGAUAGUGGGUAAACAGGACAAAAUUAUCCUCUCACAAGAAAACGACGUGUCACACUUCUAUGCUACUUUUCUUUAUUAUAUAUGUCAAUGGGGAAAUUUAAACAUACAGUUCCCAUUAUCUAAAUUUCCUGUUCACAUGUUAGUGAAAAAAGUAGUUAAUCAAGUCCAGGACAAACAUGUAGUCUAAGGAUACUCGUCAACUGCUUAUCAAAUGUUCAAGGUAAUCAAAGUGAAUAUCAUUCAGCCGAAUAUAGAGAUAGUGGCCAAUUUCAGGGGCAUAUCCUUAGUGAUGCCUGCUCCCCAUACUGCAUGCGUAACUUACUACACAUUGAAUUAUACAUUGAAUAGUAGCAGCAAACAACAACAGAACAAUCUCAAUCUUGGAUAACCAUUUAGCUAUAAUUUAUAGAUACAGGUCUUGUAAGUGUCGUUUCCAGCAUUAUGAAAACCUAGCAAAUCACUGGGUAUCCUCGAUUUGAGAAGAGCAAACUGAGAAAGUCUAAUGCAAUAUAAUGCAUAUAAGUAUAUGUGCAAUUGUGAUUCAAUUGAUAAACAUCCAGUAAGAUAAUAGAAUCAAACAGCAGUCCCAUGUGAAAAGACUGUAUGCAAGUAUAGAAGAAACAUAUGAUUAUUAUCUUAUAAUCAGGGCAGCCACUAAGC
RNAcentral lists this long non-coding RNA (970 nucleotides) under Hordeum vulgare. RNAcentral describes it as "long non-coding RNA (HVUL_LNC015351)". Lineage: Eukaryota; Viridiplantae; Streptophyta; Magnoliopsida; Poales; Poaceae. The record is from RNAcentral.